RNAcentral lists this ribosomal RNA (469 nucleotides) under uncultured soil bacterium. RNAcentral describes it as "bacterial SSU rRNA". It matches the Rfam family "Bacterial small subunit ribosomal RNA", at positions 26 to 515 of the family's 1533-position model. The record is from RNAcentral.
AGGACGAACGCUGGCGGCGUGCUUAACACAUGCAAGUCGAGCGGUAAGGCCUUUCGGGGUACACGAGCGGCGAACGGGUGAGUAACACGUGGGUGAUCUGCCCUGCACUCUGGGAUAAGCCUGGGAAACUGGGUCUAAUACCGGAUAUGACCUGCUCUCGCAUGGGGGUGGGUGGAAAGAUUUAUCGGUGCAGGAUGGGCCCGCGGCCUAUCAGCUUGUUGGUGGGGUAAUGGCCUACCAAGGCGACGACGGGUAGCCGACCUGAGAGGGUGACCGGCCACACUGGGACUGAGACACGGCCCAGACUCCUACGGGAGCAGCAGUGGGAAUAUUGCACAAUGGGCGAAAGCCUGAUGCAGCGACGCCGCGUGAGGAUGAAGGCCUUCGGGUUGUAAACCUCUUUCAGCAGGGACGAAGGCGACGAAGUGACGGUACCUGCAGAAGAAGCACGCAACUACGCGCUAGCACG